This 119-nucleotide ribosomal RNA is filed under the name Moelleriella libera RCEF 2490. The record is from RNAcentral. Lineage: Eukaryota; Fungi; Ascomycota; Sordariomycetes; Hypocreales; Clavicipitaceae.
ACAUACGACCAUAGCCGCCAGCUAAAUCAGGAUCCCGUCCGAUCUCCCACGAUAACCUGGCGAGCGCUGGACUAGUAGUUGGGUCGGUGACGACCAGCGAAUCCCCAGUGUUGUAUGUU